UACGGAGGGAGCUAGCGUUGUUCGGAAUUACUGGGCGUAAAGCGCGCGUAGGCGGCUUUGUAAGUUAGAGGUGAAAGCCCGGGGCUCAACCCCGGAACUGCCUUUAAGACUGCAUCGCUUGAAUCCGGGAGAGGUGAGUGGAAUUCCUAGUGUAGAGGUGAAAUUCGUAGAUAUUAGGAAGAACACCAGUGGCGAAGGCGGCUCACUGGUCCGGUACUGACGCUGAGGUGCGAAAGCGUGGGGAGCAAACAGG
Molecule: ribosomal RNA, 253 nt
Filed under: uncultured bacterium
Lineage: Bacteria
Description: partial 16S ribosomal RNA
Rfam family: Bacterial small subunit ribosomal RNA
Source: RNAcentral